GAGUAAUGCUUAGGAAUCUGCCUAUUAGUGGGGGACAACAUCUCGAAAGGGAUGCUAAUACCGCAUACGUCCUACGGGAGAAAGCAGGGGAUCACUUGUGACCUUGCGCUAAUAGAUGAGCCUAAGUCGGAUUAGCUAGUUGGUGGGGUAAAGGCCUACCAAGGCGACGAUCUGUAGCGGGUCUGAGAGGAUGAUCCGCCACACUGGGACUGAGACACGGCCCAGACUCCUACGGGAGGCAGCAGUGGGGAAUAUUGGACAAUGGGGGGAACCCUGAUCCAGCCAUGCCGCGUGUGUGAAGAAGGCCUUAUGGUUGUAAAGCACUUUAAGCGAGGAGGAGGCUCUUUUGGUUAAUACCCAAGAUGAGUGGACGUUACUCGCAGAAUAAGCACCGGCUAACUCUGUGCCAGCAGCCGCGGUAAUACAGAGGGUGCAAGCGUUAAUCGGAUUUACUGGGCGUAAAGCGCGCGUAGGCGGCCAAUUAAGUCAAAUGUGAAAUCCCCGAGCUUAACUUGGGAAUUGCAUUCGAUACUGGUUGGCUAGAGUGUGGGAGAGGAUGGUAGAAUUCCAGGUGUAGCGGUGAAAUGCGUAGAGAUCUGGAGGAAUACCGAUGGCGAAGGCAGCCAUCUGGCCUAACACUGACGCUGAGGUGCGAAAGCAUGGGGAGCAAACAGGAUUAGAUACCCUGGUAGUCCAUGCCGUAAACGAUGUCUACUAGCCGUUGGGGCCUUUGAGGCUUUAGUGGCGCAGCUAACGCGAUAAGUAGACCGCCUGGGGAGUACGGUCGCAAGACUAAAACUCAAAUGAAUUGACGGGGGCCCGCACAAGCGGUGGAGCAUGUGGUUUAAUUCGAUGCAACGCGAAGAACCUUACCUGGCCUUGACAUAGUAGAAACUUUCCAGAGAUGGAUUGGUGCCUUCGGGAAUCUACAUACAGGUGCUGCAUGGCUGUCGUCAGCUCGUGUCGUGAGAUGUUGGGUUAAGUCCCGCAACGAGCGCAACCCUUUUCCUUACUUGCCAGCAUUUCGGAUGGGAACUUUAAGGAUACUGCCAGUGACAAACUGGAGGAAGGCGGGGACGACGUCAAGUCAUCAUGGCCCUUACGGCCAGGGCUACACACGUGCUACAAUGGUCGGUACAAAGGGUUG
RNAcentral lists this ribosomal RNA (1147 nucleotides) under Acinetobacter soli. RNAcentral's name for it is "bacterial SSU rRNA". It matches the Rfam family "Bacterial small subunit ribosomal RNA", at positions 108 to 1249 of the family's 1533-position model. The record is from RNAcentral. Lineage: Bacteria; Pseudomonadati; Pseudomonadota; Gammaproteobacteria; Moraxellales; Moraxellaceae.